CCUUUGAGAAUUCUUCACAUGUGAAAGAUGGUAAGGCAACACUGUGUAGCUGGCAGAAAUUCUCUCUGUAAAUCAGCUCUCAUGACUACCUUGCUCCCCUUCUGCCGGUUGGGAAAGACUCCCUGGAACACUGUUCAUCCUCAUCUCCCGCACUGCCAGUUAACCUCCACACCAGGGGACGGCACCACCACCUGCCCCUCUUCGGACGCUUCCCGUGGCCGUGAUGAGUGUGAGCCCCUCCCUGCAGACAGCGAGAAACUGCCCGGGCCCCUCGGAGGUGCGGUGAGUUGUGGCUGGGGAAACAGAAAAUGGACCGAGCAGCAGGCCCCUCUGGACCGCUAUUCACAGAUGACGUCGGAGGAUUCAGUACACUCUGACAAAGCACUUUCCCUAAGUGUAGCUGGAGAAGCUGGGGCACCGCACGGGAGAGUUUCCCCUUUGCCUAUGUGACAGAGAAGGACUGUGUAGUCAGGUCUGCAACAGAAGCCUCACCCCGGUAGGGACCCAACAGCGAGCUCUCCACAGAUUUGCACUUGGGUCCAGAAUCUGCCUUUGCUUUGAUGUGGAGAAUCUUCUUUUUAUGGAAAAGAAGUAGAGGAGGAUUUCAGUUCGCAAAUACUGGUGUAAAAGGAAGGCAAAGGACUGCCCUGCCAAGUGAUGAAAAGAAAUGCCGUCCUCUUUCUCUGGGGUGGCGGGCUUUAGGCUCAAGCGUGGGAACAGGGCUGGAGCCUCAGGUCUGGACUGGGGUCUGUGGGGCUCAGUGGACCGGAAGGGCGAGCUCUGCGGCUGCACCGGAAGCCAGGGACAGGAAGUGCGGGGCAACUUGCUGCAGUCUGGUCCCGCCAAGCCUGACACCCAUGUGCUUCCGUGUUCCUGGCCGCUCAUUUCCUUGUGUCUCUGAUGAAAAAGAAAACCGAGUUCAUCUGGGGCCCAUUUAUAAACUUUUCAAGCCAUAAUAAUUUUUAAAAAAUUAAGUUUAUUGGUACAUUUUAGGUAUACAACUACAUUCAUCAUUGGGAAUUUGCAUCUUUACAUGAUGUAUCUUGGUUCUUAUUUUUUCCCCAUUCCCCUGCCCUCCCUUCCACCUCUCCACCUCUCCCUAUUUAUAAAGACUUUGUUUCCAUUUUUCAUUUUCUCAUAUUUCUUCCUUUCCCCUACCCCUCCCAGUUCCCCUUCCCCUUUGGACCUUUUCUUCCUAUUUCACAGAAUCAUACCACAGUGAUAUAUGCACACCCAUGUUUUUAGCAGCACAGUCUGUAAUAGCUAAAACUUGGAAACAGCCCAAUUGACCAUCAACAGGAGACUGGAUAAAGGAAAUGUACAUUUUAAAAACCAAAAUGGAGUACUACUCAGCCACAAAGAAGGAGAAAUUAGACACAUAAUAUUUUGAUUAUGAUUGCUUCGCAGUAUAUUUUAACACUUGGGAGAACAAUUUUCAUUUAUAUUUUUCCUUCCAAAUUUAGCUUAAGAAUCUGUAUUUCAUGUAAAUUUUAUAAUGACUUUGAGUUCCUCAGAAGAGCAUCCAUUUAUAACCAUGAUGGAAAGCUCUGAAAGCCGAGAUUUAUAUUGCUCUGCCAGAGACAUCCCAAAGUGAGUUUCUGUCAUUUGAAUCACUUAACCAAUUCAGGAAAUCUGUCAGGUAAAUGCUUUUAUUAUCUCAUCAUACAGAAACACGAAUGGGUAGAAGAACAAAGUAAUUUGACAAAUUUGGUCAAAUUUGGUCUCAUUGAAAUGGCUGAGAAUAAAACCCAGACUUUUAAGAUUUAUAGUCUAUUUUUAACUACUAUGAUAAAAUAAAAUAUUUCCUUUGUUUCAUUGUUGUUACAUUAAUCCUCAAAUAUUUGUGGCA
Long non-coding RNA from Fukomys damarensis (Damara mole-rat), 1849 nucleotides. The record is from Ensembl. NCBI's taxonomy places the organism in Eukaryota, Metazoa, Chordata, Mammalia, Rodentia, Bathyergidae.